Molecule: unclassified non-coding RNA, 347 nt
Filed under: soil metagenome
Description: partial contains 5.8S ribosomal RNA, internal transcribed spacer 2, and large subunit ribosomal RNA
Rfam family: 5.8S ribosomal RNA (bases 1-120)
Source: RNAcentral
GAUGAAGAACGCAGCAAAAUGCGAUAAGUAAUGUGAAUUGCAGAAUUCAGUGAAUCAUCGAAUCUUUGAACGCACAUUGCGCCCGCUGGUAUUCCGGCGGGCAUGCCUGUUCGAGCGUCAUUUCAACCCUCAAGCCCCCGGGUUUGGUGUUGGGGAUCGGCUCUGCCCUUCUGGGCGGUGCCGCCCCGAAAUACAUUGGCGGUCUCGCUGCAGCCUCCAUUGCGUAGUAGCUAACACCUCGCAACUGGAACGCGGCGCGGCCAUGCCGUAAAACCCCAACUUCUGAAUGUUGACCUCGGAUCAGGUAGGAAUACCCGCUGAACUUAAGCAUAUCAAUAAGCGGAGGA